Molecule: ribosomal RNA, 215 nt
Filed under: uncultured bacterium
Lineage: Bacteria
Description: partial 16S ribosomal RNA
Rfam family: Bacterial small subunit ribosomal RNA
Source: RNAcentral
UACGUAGGGUGCAAGCGUUGUCCGGAAUUAUUGGGCGUAAAGAGCUCGUAGGCGGUCUGUCGCGUCUGCUGUGAAAAUCAGGGCUUAACCCUGGACCUGCAGUGAGUACGGGCAGACUAGAGUGCGGUAGGGGAGAUCGGAAUUCCUGGUGUAGCGGUGAAAUGCGCAGAAUAUCAGGAGGAACACCGGUGGCGAAGGCGGGUCUCGUGGGCGAG